Non-coding RNA from Microcebus murinus (gray mouse lemur), 1235 nucleotides. The record is from RefSeq and is a predicted model, not a curated record. Lineage: Eukaryota; Metazoa; Chordata; Mammalia; Primates; Cheirogaleidae.
AGGAGGUGGCUCCUCCCAGGCUGUUGGAUUGAUGGCCCCCGUUUCUCACCGGCUGGUGGCUGGAGGCUGCCCUUCUCUCACAAACGGGGCGGUUUGUGACAUGGCAGCUGCCUCCUGUGACAGCAAGAGAGCAAGAAGGCAAAGGAAGGCAAGCGAGGCAGAAGCCAGCAUCGUUUUGUAACCUGGUCUUGAAGGGACAGCCAUAUUCUGUUCACUAGAACCUGCUUUAUCAAACGCUCCCUUCCAGAAAUGUGGAUCUGCCCUGGUCUUGGGAGAUGGAGAUUGGAACCGACAAGAUUGGAAUCGACAGACUGCUCACCUUUUCUGAGCCACCCAUACCAGGCUUGACAUCUGGAAUCUCUUAGGAAAACUGGAUCCAGUCUGCCCUAUUCUUGGGCUGGCAAAACUAUAAUGUUGAAGAAAUAAAGACAGGACUGCUCUGGGAUGACUAUGCACAUUGAUGGAGAAAUGGGAUUUGGUUUAUGAAAUAUUUGGAUGAAGUCUCAGGAAGGAAGAAAGCUAACUUCUGCGGAGAGCUUACCUGACCCAGAUGAGACACCAGAAGGCUGAGCGUCAGUCUAGUGGCACUAUGAGGACUAAGAGCACGGGCUAGACAUAGAAGAGCAGGAAGACAAUUGCACCUUGGUCCCUAUUGGUAGAUUGAAUGAUUUGCUCAAAAAACACAGUGCCUCUCCAUGGGACGCCGACUCACGGCCCUCCCGGGGGGAGGGCAGCAUUCCCGUCCGUUCCAUCAGGCAUGGCCACGUGACUCACAUGGGCCAGUGGAAUGUAAGAAGAAGUGACACGUUUCCUGCUUGAGAAGUUUAGUGCCACCCCGCGAUUUCAUCAUUGCUCUUCUCCCUUUGACGUGAGGCCACAAGUCCCAGACAGGAGCUACUUCUCCAGCUUGGAGUGCAGAAAGAGGAUAACAGAACAGAGCUGCAGCUGACCUGUGAAGGGUGUUUGAUGUGAGCAAGAAGCACAACUUUGUUUCUACUUCUUGCUAUGUGACAGAAAGCAACUCCACUUUGGCUGAUCUACUGUUAUGUGCGACUAUGACAAUUCUAUCUAGUAUCAUGAAGUGCACCGCUCUGGACAGGCCUCCCUUGACGAACUUCCGUGGCAUUAUUUGUAAUCCUGUGUCUUUCCUGGUCUCCCUCUUGGACUGUGAACUCCAGCGUGCAGGAAGCUCACAUUACUCUCCUCUGCAUCUAACAGGGGCUGGCCCGUGCAAG